Molecule: ribosomal RNA, 484 nt
Filed under: uncultured bacterium
Lineage: Bacteria
Description: partial 16S ribosomal RNA
Rfam family: Bacterial small subunit ribosomal RNA
Source: RNAcentral
AUUGAACGCUGGCGGCAGGCCUAACACAUGCAAGUCGAGCGGAUGAAGGGAGCUUGCUCCUGGAUUCAGCGGCGGACGGGUGAGUAAUGCCUAGGAAUCUGCCUGGUAGUGGGGGAUAACGUCCGGAAACGGGCGCUAAUACCGCAUACGUCCUGAGGGAGAAAGUGGGGGAUCUUCGGACCUCACGCUAUCAGAUGAGCCUAGGUCGGAUUAGCUAGUUGGUGGGGUAAAGGCCUACCAAGGCGACGAUCCGUAACUGGUCUGAGAGGAUGAUCAGUCACACUGGAACUGAGACACGGUCCAGACUCCGACGGGAGGCAGCAGUGGGGAAUAUUGGACAAUGGGCGAAAGCCUGAUCCAGCCAUGCCGCGUGUGUGAAGAAGGUCUUCGGAUUGUAAAGCACUUUAAGUUGGGAGGAAGGGCAGUAAGUUAAUCCCUUGCUGUUUUGACGUUACCAACAGAAUAAGCACCGGCUAACUUCGUG